RNAcentral lists this ribosomal RNA (465 nucleotides) under Vreelandella stevensii. RNAcentral describes it as "partial 16S ribosomal RNA". It matches the Rfam family "Bacterial small subunit ribosomal RNA", at positions 338 to 795 of the family's 1533-position model. Lineage: Bacteria; Pseudomonadati; Pseudomonadota; Gammaproteobacteria; Oceanospirillales; Halomonadaceae. The record is from RNAcentral.
CCUACGGGUGGCUGUAGUGGGGAAUAUUGGACAAUGGGGGCAACCCUGAUCCAGCCAUGCCGCGUGUGUGAAGAAGGCCCUCGGGUUGUAAAGCACUUUCAGUGAGGAAGAACGCCUGGUGGUUAAUACCCAUCAGGAAAGACAUCACUCACAGAAGAAGCACCGGCUAACUCCGUGCCAGCAGCCGCGGUAAUACGGAGGGUGCGAGCGUUAUUCGGAAUUACUGGGCGUAAAGCGCGCGUAGGUGGCUUGAUAAGCCGGUUGUGAAAGCCCCGGGCUCAACCUGGGAACGGCAUCCGGAACUGUCAAGCUAGAGUGCAGGAGAGGAAGGUAGAAUUCCCGGUGUAGCGGUGAAAUGCGUAGAGAUCGGGAGGAAUACCAGUGGCGAAGGCGGCCUUCUGGACUGACACUGACACUGAGGUGCGAAAGCGUGGGUAGCAAACAGGAUUAGAUACCCGGGUAGUC